Long non-coding RNA from Conger conger (European conger), 377 nucleotides. RefSeq lists it as uncharacterized. NCBI's taxonomy places the organism in Eukaryota, Metazoa, Chordata, Actinopteri, Anguilliformes, Congridae. The transcript has 3 exons. The record is from RefSeq and is a predicted model, not a curated record.
AGGCAAGGUAGCCUAGCUGUUGUAAACUCGCACGAUGCAACAGAUUUAGUCAGCGGUUGUGAGCUGCCUGAGAAUUCUGAGGAUCCCUAGCAAGGCGGAAUUGGCAGCAGCAGAAGCUUGGCUAAACAAAAUGGGAACAAGUGUCUCCAUUCAUCUGUUCAACAAUUCAUCUGCCAUCCUGACAAAUCCACAGGUUCACACCCACGGUGGGUACUGCGUAACGUCCCCACAACUCACAGUGGAAAAGGGGGCCACAGUUAAGUGUGCUUUUGGAAAAACUGCGGGAACUGCACGUGGUGCCAUGGGGGUCCUGACUUAUGACAUCGCUGAAGACCAGGAGAUGGAAGCAGUGAAGCGUCUGGCCAUCUUGUUCUCUG